This 492-nucleotide ribosomal RNA is filed under the name uncultured bacterium. Its description in RNAcentral is "partial 16S ribosomal RNA". It matches the Rfam family "Bacterial small subunit ribosomal RNA", at positions 29 to 507 of the family's 1533-position model. The record is from RNAcentral.
AGUGAACGCUGGCGGUAGGCCUAACACAUGCAAGUCGAACGGCAGCACAGUAAGAGCUUGCUCUUACGGGUGGCGAGUGGCGGACGGGUGAGGAAUACAUCGGAAUCUACUUUUUCGUGGGGGAUAACGUAGGGAAACUUACGCUAAUACCGCAUACGACCUACGGGUGAAAGCAGGGGAUCUUCGGACCUUGCGCGAUUGAAUGAGCCGAUGUCGGAUUAGCUAGUUGGCGGGGUAAAGGCCCACCAAGGCGACGAUCCGUAGCUGGUCUGAGAGGAUGAUCAGCCACACUGGAACUGAGACACGGGCCAGACUCCUACGGGAGGCAGCAGUGGGGAAUAUUGGACAAUGGGCGCAAGCCUGAUCCAGCCAUACCGCGUGAGUGAAGAAGGCCUUCGGGUUGUAAAGCCCUUUUGUUGGGAAAGAAAAGCAGCAGGUUAAUACCCCGCUGUUCUGACGGUACCCAAAGAAUAAGCACCGGCUAACUUCGUG